CCUGCCACACCCCUGCACUGGACUAGGCACUGUGGAGGUAGGGAAAGGGGUGGGAAUUACAGAAGAAUUCUAGAAUAGCCCUCUCUGUCCUCAGUAUGGAAGAAAAAUAUUGUUCUUUUAGUAAGAGUCCUGGCUUUGAGUUUCAGCUCUGAUCCUUCCCACCUCAGUGGUUAUAAGGAACCCCUGAAGAUUCUUGAGCAUGUUAUGACCAAACCCGUGCUUCAGAAAGCAUUUGGCAACUGUAUGAAGAAUGGAUCAGAGGGAGAAGUCAGAAACAAGAAGAAGAGCUAAGGGGCUCUUCAGUACACCAAAUGAGAGUUCAGCCCACUACGGAAGACUCUCCCCGGGGAUGAUGCAGGGGAAAACAAACACAGGCACAUAGGACAAAUUGACCAGCUGAUUGGAGAGCCCUGACAUUACACCCUAUCUCUACCUGCUUCCCAGAGGACCCAGCUUCCUUCUAGUUUGCUGCUCCCAACAUUUGAUCCAGGAGGGAAUUGUCAGGAAUUCUAAGGCAAACAUGGAUCUAUUUUUUGGGAAGAAAAGACAUGGGCCUCAGUGACAGUGACAGAACUUCAAGGUUCUUCUGGCUGUGCAUCUGCUACCCUGGAGAGCUGGUGUGACAAGAAAGUUGACCUCUGAACAAGUGUAUCAGAGAAUUCCAUACCUAGCAAAGGGUCCUGUGGGAGAGAACUAGGAGAGAUGGAGUAGCAGGAAGACGGAGUAACAGGAACCCAGAUAACCUGGGUUCAAAUCUCAGCUCUGCCUCUUGCUCAUCUGUAUGACCUUGUUCAAGUCAC
This is a non-coding RNA of Phascolarctos cinereus (koala), 800 nucleotides long. Lineage: Eukaryota; Metazoa; Chordata; Mammalia; Diprotodontia; Phascolarctidae. The record is from RefSeq and is a predicted model, not a curated record.